This 132-nucleotide small nuclear RNA is filed under the name Canis lupus familiaris (dog). RNAcentral's name for it is "U4 spliceosomal RNA (multiple genes)". The stretch from base 1 to 72 matches the Rfam family "U4 spliceosomal RNA". Rfam says of the family: U4 small nuclear RNA (U4 snRNA) is a component of the major U2-dependent spliceosome. The structure of U4 snRNA from yeast and human has been reported. The record is from RNAcentral. Lineage: Eukaryota; Metazoa; Chordata; Mammalia; Carnivora; Canidae.
AGCUUUGUGCAGUGGCAGUAUCAUAGCCGAUGAGGUUUAUCCGAGGUGUGAUUAUUGCUAAUUAAGAAUGAAGCAUUUAUGUGGAUUAGUUUCCUUGGUCUCUGAGGAUAUUCCUAGAAAUAUAAUUCUGUC